GGUGAACGCUGGCGGCGUGCUUAAGACAUGCAAGUCGAACGCAGUCUUCGGACUGAGUGGCGCGCGGGUGAGUAACACGUAACUGACCUACCCCCAAGUCGCGGAUAACUGGCCGAAAGGUCAGCUAAUACGUGAUGUGAUGUCCCCUUUCUGGGGGGCCAUUAAAGGUUUACUGCUUGGGAUGGGGUUGCGUUCCAUCAGCUAGUUGGCGGGGUAAAGGCCCACCAAGGCAACGACGGAUAGCCGGCCUGAGAGGGUGGCCCGCGACAGGGGCGCUGAGACACGGGUCCCACUCCUACGGGAAGCAGCAGUUAGGAAUCUUCCACAAUGGGCGAAAGCCUGAUGGAGCGACGCCGCGUGAGGGAUGAAGGUUCUCGGAUCGUAAAACUCUGAAUCAGGGACGAAAGACGCGUAAGCGGGAUGACGGUACCUGAGUAAUAGCACCGGCUAACUCCGUGCCAGCCGCCGCUGUAA
Molecule: ribosomal RNA, 474 nt
Filed under: uncultured bacterium
Lineage: Bacteria
Description: partial 16S ribosomal RNA
Rfam family: Bacterial small subunit ribosomal RNA
Source: RNAcentral